UAUAGUCUCCAUUCAAAUAUAGCCACGUUAUUUAGUGGGCAAAUCUCAUCAGCUAAUAAACAGAAGUAGUCCUACGUGCAGAAUUUGAUGAUCCAAUGCAACGUUCUGUUGCACAUCCCUUCUCAGAUGGGUGAGAUGAGCAGGCAGGUAAAUGGAUAUAUGUCUUGAGUUGCUCUGGAUCAUGAAUCAAUGAUGUCGCUGCAUCAAUUGGCAUUAAUACACUUACAUAGGAAAAAUUCGAGAUAUAAUAUGGUUAUGCUAUCGAGGGGUGUAGUUCACAAUAAUAUGAAGCUAACAUUUAUAAUCUUGAAUAAAGUAAAA
Molecule: long non-coding RNA, 321 nt
Filed under: Elaeis guineensis (African oil palm)
Lineage: Eukaryota; Viridiplantae; Streptophyta; Magnoliopsida; Arecales; Arecaceae
Description: long non-coding RNA (EGUI_LNC068484)
Source: RNAcentral